AGCGAACGCUGGCGGCAGGCCUAACACAUGCAAGUCGAACGAACCUUUCGGGGUUAGUGGCGGACGGGGGAGUAACACGUGGGAACGUGCCUUUAGGUUCGGAAUAACUCAGGGAAACUUGUGCUAAUACCGAAUGUGCCCUUCGGGGGAAAGAUUAAUCGCCUUUAGAGCGGCCCGCGUCUGAUUAGCUAGUUGGUUGAGGUAAUGGCUCACCAAGGCGACGAUCAGUAGCUGGUCUGAGAGGAUGAUCAGCCACAUUGGGACUGAGACACGGCCCAAACUCCUACGGGAGGCAGCAGUGGGGAAUCUUGCGCAAUGGGCGAAAGCCUGACGCAGCCAUGCCGCGUGAAUGAUGAAGGUCUUAGGAUUGUAAAAUUCUUUCACCGGGGACGAUAAUGACGGUACCCGGAGAAGAAGCCCCGGCUAACUUCGUG
This 434-nucleotide ribosomal RNA is filed under the name uncultured bacterium. Its description in RNAcentral is "partial 16S ribosomal RNA". It matches the Rfam family "Bacterial small subunit ribosomal RNA", at positions 29 to 507 of the family's 1533-position model. The record is from RNAcentral.